UGAGUAAAGCUUAAAAUUAUUAAAAAGAGUUUAAAAAAUAAAUUAUAAGCGUAAAAAAGUGAAUAUUUAGGUAAAUUGGUAGGUAAUUGUGUUCAAAUGGACAAGGAAAAUAUUCAGGCUUCCGGAUCUAAACAGUCGGCAAUGGACUCCAUUGAAUUUUCACCCACAAAGCAGCCAAGGCGGAUUUUUAAGAAAACGAAUCAACAAGAUAUGAUAGACGAAAUGAGAGCGGACAUUAAACGUUUGUGUGUCACCACGGAGCAGCUAAAAAAUGGGAUCUGCUCAUUGGCAGCAUUUUUUUCAAUAAAAUCAUAAAAAUUA
Molecule: long non-coding RNA, 321 nt
Organism: Eupeodes corollae
Lineage: Eukaryota; Metazoa; Arthropoda; Insecta; Diptera; Syrphidae
Exons: 3
Source: RefSeq, a predicted model, not a curated record